RNAcentral lists this ribosomal RNA (542 nucleotides) under Trigonopterus quadrimaculatus. Its description in RNAcentral is "partial 16S ribosomal RNA". The record is from RNAcentral. Lineage: Eukaryota; Metazoa; Arthropoda; Insecta; Coleoptera; Curculionidae.
ACCUGGCUCACACCGGUUUAAACUCAGAUCAUGUAAAAUUUUAAAGGUCGAACAGACCUAAUUUAUUAGCUUCUCCACCAACAAUUAAUUUUAAUCCAACAUCGAGGUCGCAAUCUUUUAUUUCGAUUAGAACUCUAAAAAAAAUUACGCUGUUAUCCCUAAGGUAAUUCAUUCUUAUAAUCUAUACUCUAGGAUCAUAAAUUCAUAAAUUAAUGGUUUUAUUAAAAAAAAGUUAAUUAAAUUUUUUCAUCACCCCAACAAAAUAUUUUUUUAGCUAAUUUAAUAAUUUUAUCCAUAAUUUCAAUUAACUUUAAAAUAUAAAACUCUAUAGGGUCUUCUCGUCUUCUAUAAACAUUUAAGCUUUUUAACUUAAAAAUAAAAUUCUAAUAAAUUUUUAUAGAGACAGAAACUUUUUCAUCAAACCUUUCAUUCCAGCUUUCAAUUAAAAAACUAAUGAUUAUGCUACCUUUGCACGGUUAAUAUACCGCGGCCAUUAAACUUCUCAUUGGGCAGGUCAGACCUAAAAUUAUAAUCAAUAGGCC